GACGAACGCUGGCGGCGUGCUUAACACAUGCAAGUCGAACGGAAAGGCCCUGCUUUUGUGGGGUGCUCGCGUGGCGAACGGGUGAGUAACCCGUGAGUAUCCUGCCCUGGACUUUGGGAUAACUUCAGGCAACUGGGGAUAAUACCGGAUAGGAGCUCCUGCUGCAGGGUGGGGGUCGGAACGUUUCGGCGGAUGGGGAUGGACUCGCGGCUUAUCAGCUUGUUGGUGGGGGAGUGGCUUACCAGGGCUUUGACGGGUAGCCGGCCUGGGAGGGUGACCGGCCACAUUGGGACUGAGAUACGGCCCAGACUCCUACGGGAGGCAGCAGUGGGGAAUAUUGCACAAUGGGCGGAAGCCUGAUGCAGCAACGCCGCGUGCGGGAUGACGGCCUUCGGGUUGUAAACCGCUUUCGCCUGUGACGAAGCGUGAGUGACGGUAAUGGGUAAAGAAGCACCGGCUAACUACGUG
This 468-nucleotide ribosomal RNA is filed under the name uncultured bacterium. Its description in RNAcentral is "partial 16S ribosomal RNA". It matches the Rfam family "Bacterial small subunit ribosomal RNA", at positions 28 to 507 of the family's 1533-position model. The record is from RNAcentral.